This is a long non-coding RNA of Paramisgurnus dabryanus, 394 nucleotides long. RefSeq lists it as uncharacterized. NCBI's taxonomy places the organism in Eukaryota, Metazoa, Chordata, Actinopteri, Cypriniformes, Cobitidae. The record is from RefSeq and is a predicted model, not a curated record.
AAAAUGCUGGAGGUGUUAGAUGUUAACCUGAUGCCAUCUGACAGGAACAAAGCGGCAGGAUGAAUGCAUUUAAAUAGCUAGAUGUUAAGCUCAUGAACAAUGUUUACUACCAAGUUUCUUCGAUGAGAAGAUUACGCUUGCCUCUUGAGAACAGACUGAUGUCAUGGGAAAACAAAAUAAGCAACCACACCUACGAAAUAAAUGCUGUGUCAAAUUGUGUGGCUUGUUUAGAAGAAGACUUUGGAUUUAUUUCUAAGAGACUGGACUUAUGUGAAGACAAAAAGGUGACGAUCCAUUAUAGCAAUCAUACAGGACAUCUUAGUAACCAGAUUUUUAACACUGUCUGUAUAACUGUAUAGUAAAACACCCUAGAAACUACUUACAAUGUGUUUUA